RNAcentral lists this ribosomal RNA (301 nucleotides) under uncultured bacterium. RNAcentral describes it as "partial 16S ribosomal RNA". It matches the Rfam family "Bacterial small subunit ribosomal RNA", at positions 509 to 808 of the family's 1533-position model. The record is from RNAcentral.
CAGCAGCCGCGGUAAUACGUAGGUCCCGAGCGUUGUCUGGAUUUAUUGGGCGUAAAGCGAGCGCAGGCGGUUAGAUAAGUCUGAAGUUAAAGGCUGUGGCUUAACCAUAGUACGCUCUGGAAACUGUUUAACUUGAGUGCAAGAGGGGAGAGUGGAAUUCCAUGUGUAGCGGUGAAAUGCGUAGAUAUAUGGAGGAACGCCGGUGGCGAAAGCGGCUCUCUGGCUUGUAACUGACGCUGAGGCUCGAAAGCGUGGGGAGCAAACAGGAUUAGAUACCCCCGUAGUCCCUGUCUCUUAUACA